GAACUGUCUUUAAUUUUUAUUAUUAAAUUUACUUUAAGAGGUGCAAAGACCUUUAAACAAAAAAAAAGACGAGAAGACCCUUAGAGUUUUUAAAAAAGUUAAAUCUAUAAAUUUUUUGUUGGGGCAACAGGGUGACAUAAGAAAUACACCUUAAGUUAAAUAUAUUUUAUUGGUCGAAUUUUUAUUAAGUAAAAACAAACUACCUAAGGGAUAACAGCAUAAUUUUGUAAUUAAGAUUGUGACCUCGAUGUUGGAUUAG
RNAcentral lists this ribosomal RNA (259 nucleotides) under Phaedusa dichroa. RNAcentral describes it as "partial 16S ribosomal RNA". The record is from RNAcentral. Lineage: Eukaryota; Metazoa; Mollusca; Gastropoda; Stylommatophora; Clausiliidae.